UGAGUAACGCAAACAUUGGUGAGAAUCCAAUACCCCAAAAACCUAAGGGGUCCUCCGUAAGGUUCAUCCACGGAGGAUGAGUCAGGGCCUAAGAUCAGGCCGAAAGGCGUAGUGGAUGGACACCAGGUGAAUAUUCCUGUACUAUCCCUUGUUGGUCCCGAGGGACGGAGGAGGCUAGGUUAGCUGCAUGAUGACUUGAUUUAUUUAUUUAUUUUUCAAAUUUUUGAAAUCUUAGUUAAACGUGUGGAAUAGAUAAGAUCUUAAGAAAUUUUGAAAAUUAACCAAGGAAAAACCCUUUGGGAUUUUAUUCUUGGUGUCCAGGAUUACGUCCUGGAUCAUUAGAUAGGAAUCCAAAGAUGAAGAGAGAAACAAAAAAUAUCACUACGGUAUAAA
Molecule: ribosomal RNA, 393 nt
Filed under: Olea europaea subsp. europaea
Lineage: Eukaryota; Viridiplantae; Streptophyta; Magnoliopsida; Lamiales; Oleaceae
Description: Bacterial large subunit ribosomal RNA
Rfam family: Bacterial large subunit ribosomal RNA
Source: Rfam by way of RNAcentral